UCAUGGAACAGCAAUUUUAUAGUAAUUUUGUAUCAGUACUUACAAACCUCAUUUCAGUACACACAAAAUUGAACUGAAUGCCAUCUUAGGGUUUCCAUUUCACACAUGCUGCAACCGGUUGAAUGCUAGACAUUACAUCACUAUGUAAGUUGUUAUUGACUCAGAGAGGUAAAGAAGCCCAGCAGGACAGAGGCUACUGCAAGUGAUUUGCUGAUGUACAAAAAGAAGUUACCAUUCAAAUGAAACAUCCUGAAGUACUUUGCAAUAACCCAAAACUACAGAAUGGAAAUCAGGUCUAAACCACCAGUACUGAAGGAUACUAGAUUGUACACUUCCACAAAGAAUUUCAGCCUAAUGUCAGUUUCCACACAUGAAUACCUGAAAAAUGCCUGCGAGAUGAAGCACCCACAAUGCACUGGGCUGUCAGUACACUCAAGAUGAUGGCAUUAAACAAGAAGUUCACAUAAAACAAUAACAGAAUUUAGAACAAGAUUCGAAAGAAAGAUGACAAUGAUAAAAACAGAUGCGCUGAACUACAAGAAGGUAAACAAUCAUGAAAUGAAAUCCAGUCUCAGAGAUUAACUACUGUGCAACUUCAUAGUUUCAAAUAAAUUGGAGC
Molecule: long non-coding RNA, 619 nt
Organism: Numida meleagris (helmeted guineafowl)
Lineage: Eukaryota; Metazoa; Chordata; Aves; Galliformes; Numididae
Exons: 3
Source: RefSeq, a predicted model, not a curated record